CUGAUGAUGACCAUUUGUUGCUUAGCCCUUGCUGACAUCUCCUGAUGUUUAUUUGUUUCUGA
Molecule: small nucleolar RNA, 62 nt
Filed under: Euglena gracilis
Lineage: Eukaryota; Euglenozoa; Euglenophyceae; Euglenales; Euglenaceae
Description: Eg-m151 box C/D methylation-guide
Source: RNAcentral